GAUGAACGCUGGCGGCGUGCCUAAUACAUGCAAGUCGAGCGAACAGAUGAGGAGCUUGCUCCUCUGACGUUAGCGGCGGACGGGUGAGUAACACGUGGAUAACCUACCUAUAAGACUGGGAUAACUUCGGGAAACCGGAGCUAAUACCGGAUAAUAUAUUGAACCGCAUGGUUCAAUAGUGAAAGACGGUUUUGCUGUCACUUAUAGAUGGAUCCGCGCCGCAUUAGCUAGUUGGUAAGGUAACGGCUUACCAAGGCAACGAUGCGUAGCCGACCUGAGAGGGUGAUCGGCCACACUGGAACUGAGACACGGUCCAGACUCCUACGGGAGGCAGCAGUAGGGAAUCUUCCGCAAUGGGCGAAAGCCUGACGGAGCAACGCCGCGUGAGUGAUGAAGGUCUUCGGAUCGUAAACUCUGUUAUUAGGGAAGAACAAAUGUGUAAGUAACUAUGCACGUCUUGACGGUACCUAAUCAGAAAGCCACGGCUAACUACGUG
RNAcentral lists this ribosomal RNA (496 nucleotides) under uncultured bacterium. RNAcentral's name for it is "partial 16S ribosomal RNA". It matches the Rfam family "Bacterial small subunit ribosomal RNA", at positions 28 to 507 of the family's 1533-position model. The record is from RNAcentral.